RNAcentral lists this long non-coding RNA (976 nucleotides) under Homo sapiens (human). Its description in RNAcentral is "HSALNT0387456". Lineage: Eukaryota; Metazoa; Chordata; Mammalia; Primates; Hominidae. The record is from RNAcentral.
GCUCCUGGCACAAGGACCCUGCGUCUUCUGUCCCCUCCCUCACUCAGACCCUCCCACAGGGUGCCCUCGCCAUCCCAUUGACCUUCAGGCUGUGAGGGUGGCCUUUGGGUUCCCCGCCUUGGCCCCUGGCCACCUGCACGUCCUGCCCCUCCUCCCACUCCCAGGCGCCUCUGGGCCUCCGCUCAGGCCGUCAAACCCAGCUCCACCAGGCCCCGGCCGUGUGCCCUUGGACAAGUGCCGUCUCCAGAGCCUCAGCCCCCUGUUUGCAAGAGCUUGUGAGCUAAAGCGUGCCAGGCCCUGAGUGCGAGGCUGGGAUGAACUGGCAUUCCUGCUGGCUCUGGCCUCUGGGACAGCACCUCCUCCAGCUCACUGCCCUCCACCCUUCCAGCUACAGCUCCCUCCGGUGCCCCAGAACCGCCCGGCACUCCGGGGCUCCCAGGUUCAUCUGGGCAUGACUCCGCCCUCCCGACAGAGCCCUCUGCACACCCCCUCCCCACCCUGGCCCAUCGCAGCUCUUCACGAAGACGCUUCAUGGAAUGGGUGAUUUUCCUAAGCACUUUUCUUUCCAUGAUCUCAUUUGGUCCUCACAGCACCUGGAGGAGGGCAGACAGGCUGUUGCUCCAUUUUACAGAUUUUCCAGACCAGGCUUUCUGAGAGGCUGUUAAUGAGCCAAACCAUUCUGCUAACCGUCGUUUUCAGAAGGGCCACCCGGCUCACGGUUCUCUUUAUUCAGGCAAAGCCAUCAAGACCCCGGGUCUUCCUCUGUGGCCCAGGCUGGAGUGCAGUAGCGCAAUCUCGGCUCACUGCAACCUCCACUUCCCGGGUUCAAGCGAUUCUCCUGCCUCAGCCUCCUGAGUAGCUGGGAUUACAAGCUCCUGCCACCAUGCCCAGCUAAUUUUUGUAUUUUUAGUAGACAUGGGGUUUCACCAUGUUGGCCAGGCUGGUCUCAAACUCCUGACCUCAAGUGAUUCACCCU